RNAcentral lists this ribosomal RNA (497 nucleotides) under uncultured bacterium. RNAcentral describes it as "partial 16S ribosomal RNA". It matches the Rfam family "Bacterial small subunit ribosomal RNA", at positions 28 to 507 of the family's 1533-position model. The record is from RNAcentral.
GAUGAACGCUGGCGGCGUGCCUAAUACAUGCAAGUCGAGCGAACAGACGAGGAGCUUGCUCCUCUGACGUUAGCGGCGGACGGGUGAGUAACACGUGGAUAACCUACCUAUAAGACUGGGAUCACUUCGGGAAACCGGAGCUAAUACCGGAUAAUAUAUUGAACCGCAUGGUUCAAUAGUGAAAGACGGCUUUGCUGUCACUUAUAGCUGGAUCCGCGCCGCAUUAGCUAGUUGGUAAGGUAACGGCUUACCAAGGCAACGAUGCGUAGCCGACCUGAGAGGGUGAUCGGCCACACUGGAACUGAGACACGGUCCAGACUCCUACGGGAGGCAGCAGUAGGGAAUCUUCCGCAAUGGGCGAAAGCUUGACGGAGCAACGCCGCGUGAGUGAUGAAGGUCUUCGGAUCGUAAAACUCUGUUAUUAGGGAAGAACAAAUGUGUAAGUAACUAUGCACGUCUUGACGGUACCUAAUCAGAAAGCCACGGCUAACUACGUG